RNAcentral lists this ribosomal RNA (502 nucleotides) under uncultured Tetracladium. Its description in RNAcentral is "eukaryotic LSU rRNA". The stretch from base 148 to 301 matches the Rfam family "5.8S ribosomal RNA". Lineage: Eukaryota; Fungi; Ascomycota. The record is from RNAcentral.
UUCGGGGUAGAUCUCCCACCCUUUGUAUACUAUACCUUUGUUGCUUUGGCGGGCCGCCUAGCUACUGGCUUCGGCUGGUAAGUGCCCGCCAGAGGAUCCAAAACCCUGAAUUAUUAGUGUCGUCUGAGUAAAAUAUUUAAUAUUUAAAACUUUCAACAACGGAUCUCUUGGCUCUGGCAUCGAUGAAGAACGCAGCGAAAUGCGAUAAGUAAUGUGAAUUGCAGAAUUCAGUGAAUCAUCGAAUCUUUGAACGCACAUUGCGCCCCUUGGUAUUCCGAGGGGCAUGCCUAUUCGAGCGUCAUUAUCACCCCUCAAGCCUAGCUUGGUGUUGAGGCCUGCUGUAAGGGCAGCCUCUAAAAUCAGUGGCAGUGCUGUCAGGCUCUAAGCGUAGUAAUUUCAUCGCUAUAGACACCUGGUGGACACUCGCCAGAACCCCCCCCAUUUUUUAAUGAUUGACCUCGGAUUAGGUAGGGAUACCCGCUGAACUUAAGCAUAUCAAUAA